UGAACGCUAGCUACAGGCUUAACACAUGCAAGUCGAGGGGCAGCAUGAAGUCAGCUUGCUGACUUUGAUGGCGACCGGCGCACGGGUGAGUAACGCGUAUCCAACCCUUCCCCUUACUCAGGAAUAGCCCGUUGAAAGACGGAUUAAUGCCUGAUGUUCUCAUGUUGCCGCAUGGCGAUAUGAGCAAAGAUUCAUCGGUAAGGGAUGGGGAUGCGUAUGAUUAGCUUGUUGGCGGGUAACGGCCACCAAGGCAACGAUCAUUAGGGGUUCUGAGAGGAACGGUCCCCCACACUGGAACUGAGACACGGUCCAGACUCCUACGGGAGGCAGCAGUGAGGAAUAUUGGUCAAGUGGGACGAAAGCCUGAACCAGCCAAGUCGCGUGAAGGAUGAAGGUUCUAUGGAUUGUAAACUUUCUUUUGUCUGAGGGUAAAAAAGCGGACGUGUCCGUUCUUGCAAGUAUCAGACGAAUAAGCAUCGGCUAACUCCGUG
Molecule: ribosomal RNA, 491 nt
Filed under: uncultured bacterium
Lineage: Bacteria
Description: bacterial SSU rRNA
Rfam family: Bacterial small subunit ribosomal RNA
Source: RNAcentral